Molecule: ribosomal RNA, 397 nt
Filed under: uncultured bacterium
Lineage: Bacteria
Description: partial 16S ribosomal RNA
Rfam family: Bacterial small subunit ribosomal RNA
Source: RNAcentral
AUACGUAGGGGGCGAGCGUUGUCCGGAAUGAUUGGGCGUAAAGGGCGCGUAGGCGGCGCGGUAAGUCUGGAGUGAAAGUCCUGCUUUCAAGGUGGGAAUUGCUUUGGAUACUGCCGCGCUUGAGUGCAGGAGAGGUUAUCGGAAUUCCUGGUGUAGCGGUGAAAUGCGUAGAGAUCGGGAGGAACACCAGUGGCGAAGGCGGGUAACUGGACUGCAACUGACGCUGAGGCGCGAAAGUGUGGGGAGCAAACAGGAUUAGAUACCCUGGUAGUCCACACUGUAAACGAUGAAUGCUAGGUGUAAGAGGUAUCGACCCCUUUUGUGCCGGAGUCAACACAAUAAGCAUUCCGCCUGGGGAGUACGGCCGCAAGGUUGAAACUCAAAGGAAUUGACGGGG